Molecule: long non-coding RNA, 925 nt
Filed under: Cyanistes caeruleus (blue tit)
Lineage: Eukaryota; Metazoa; Chordata; Aves; Passeriformes; Paridae
Description: lncRNA (ENSCCEG00000001657.1)
Source: RNAcentral
AGCUAUACUGUGGACUUGGUGUUGUUUAAUUAAAAUAAUCUGUCAAAAUCUAUUUAGUCUAAAAGGAGAAUGAAAGAAAGAAAGAAAAAUUGUUCACUCCAUUGUAUUUUCAAAGCAUUUGCCCUUUCAAUGAAUGUCAUGAACAGGGAAUGUUUCCAGCGAUCAAUACUUGGAUGGGAGGAAGCUUUCCAGCACUGCUGAGUGGCUUUCACAGCAGCUGUGAUCAAGAUGGAGGGCUUGUUGUUUUGUUUUUUAAUUUUAUUUCCUUGCUCUGUAAUAUUCAUUGAUGUAAAUAUUAAUACAGACCUGAUGUUCAUCUUGUCUUUGCAAUAUUUUUCACAGAAAGAGUUUUUCUCCCAAUAAAAUGAACGAUGCCUGAGAAUGCAGAAGAGGAUGUGCUGACUGUUAUUGGUUCCCCUAUGAUCAACAAAGGAGGAAAGAACAAGAAAGAGUUCACCUGGGAAUGGCUCACAGCUCUCUCCUGUCAAAAGUCUUUGUACAGAAGGUUGCAAACUUCCUGUGGGGCCUGAGUGGAGGCUUGCUGCAGAAUAGUCCAUUGCUCCGAGGGCAGUUAAAGGACAGUCCCAGUGCUGGAAAAAAGGCAAAGACCUGGCUAACAGAAUAGCCCCAGUGCAGCAAGUUUGGGUAACAGUUCCUCCGGAGCAAGAAUUGAAUGGGAGCAGAAGAGGCUUAUGGCUUCCCCAGCAAACUUGUGCUGGUUGAGGUUGCACCUUGUACAUGUCCUUGGAGAGGAUGAACUUUCUCCUUUAUGGCCCUUGACCACUUCCGGAGACACAUGAAGAACUAGUGCAUUGUCAUUAAAUGAGGUAUUAGAAUAGUCUGAGCCCAGGAAAUUUUUACUUGCUCUCAUGCCAGGAACUGCUUGCCUAAUAAAACAGGCCUCUUCCCAAAGACUGAGAGGGGA